This 36-nucleotide ribosomal RNA is filed under the name Parmotrema sp. Hur PH0904-1. RNAcentral describes it as "partial 28S ribosomal RNA". Lineage: Eukaryota; Fungi; Ascomycota; Lecanoromycetes; Lecanorales; Parmeliaceae. The record is from RNAcentral.
UUGACCUCGGAUCAGGUAGGGAUACCCGCUGACUUA